This is a long non-coding RNA of Bubalus bubalis (water buffalo), 2123 nucleotides long. RefSeq lists it as uncharacterized. The transcript has 4 exons. Lineage: Eukaryota; Metazoa; Chordata; Mammalia; Artiodactyla; Bovidae. The record is from RefSeq and is a predicted model, not a curated record.
UUCAAAGGAUUGUUGAAGCUAAAUGGGUUAAACCAUGAUACUAGUGCCUGGUGUGUAACUGGAGUUUAAUAAAUAGGUAUUGAGUGGAUGAGUGUUUCAGAAGGAGCAAAAUCAGAGGUGUUUUUUUUUUUUUUUGCAUGUGAAAUGACAAAACCUUAGAUAAGAAAGUCCUGGCUUUGUUCUAGCUACUUCUCAAUAUAGUCCAUUAAAGGGGGUGAGGGGAGAGUUAGUGGAAGAAAUAAAUUUAAAACCCAUGAAAAAUUAUUUCCUUUCUCUGCUCUUUGAUAUUCUUCCAGGCCCAGUAUAAAUGCCACCUCCUCAGGGGAGCCUUCCCUGGUUGCCACCCUUUCCAACUACCCUCAGGCAUGGCUUUCUCUUCUUUUCCCAGGCAGCAUACAGCUUGUGGGCUUAAUGGUAGCACUUACUAAAUUCUGCUUUAUUUUAGCUGCAUUCACAGCCUUCUCCUCUUACUGAACAGGAAGCUUCCCCCUGAGGCAGACACACAUGGGAGCUUUGGGUUGGGUCUGGGUCCCGGCCUCCUACUACUCACCAGCUGGGCUAGUCUCACAGAGAAGAGACCCAGGCCCACCUGUCAGGAGCUCUCAGCUUGGCCCAGUGCCUUCAGCCCAAGGUUCACAGCCAAACUGUCUCUACCUUCUUGAGCCGCAUUUUCGACCCAGAGCCAUUUGUCCUCCAGGGCACCCUCCGCCGUGUCUGGGGACUUGUUUGAUCAUCACGAUUUGGGGAUCCAUGCUGGUGGGCAGAGAGGUCAGGGAUGUUGCUAAACACCCCACAAUGCCCAGGAUACCCUGCCACAAAGUUGUUCAGCUCAGACGUCAGUAGUGCUAUGGCGGGGAAACCGUCCUCCGGCCAGAAUUUCAGCUGAACCACCCUGCCUCAGUACCACACCGGGUCCCAUAUGCAUCUUCUUCCACCUGUGUUACAGCAGCAUCCUCCUAUGGGUCUCCUCGUCUACCCUGGUCCUCCUUCCGACUUGACUCCACAUAAGCAGCCAGGGGCAGCUUUCUAAAAAUUCAGGCCAUCCCCCCACCUUAAAACCAUCCCGUGGUUUUCCACAGCCCUUAGAAUGAAGCUCAGACUCCUCUCCUGGCCAGUGAGGUCCCUGAUGGUCUUUGCUGCCCCUCACCCGUCUCCCUGUCUCUCUGUAACAGGCUGCACUGGCCACAUCUCUUGUCCUCCGAGGUACCAGGUCUUGGCUGUCUGCCAGGGGUGCUCCCCCAGGCGUUCUGUGGGUGCCUUCUCAUCACUUGGGUUUCUGCCCACAUCUGCACCCACUUCAAAGAGUCGGGCGGGGCUGCCGGAGGGCUGUGUAGUUGAAGGCGGGUUUGGUUCCUGUGAUUUUGUGAUUCAGCGUGUGUUCACUUCUCUGCUCUGGGGCAGUGAGGACUAGGGUGUGUGAGGCUGCUUUUCGUCAUAACAGCUACAGAACUAGAGCAAGUCAGCUGUUCUCAGCAUCUGGAAGCUUGCCUGCAUCCUCUGAUUUAUGUGUUGAACAGCGGCUGACUUCUUCCUGCUCCCUUCCUAACUGGAGUGGAUGAGGAGGAAAUGGGACCCAGAACCCCAGGGAGCUCUCCUCUGCUUGUUAACUCGCAGCCUGCAGCUUACACAGCUCACACUCCUGGCACGGCCUUCAGGGGCCACCGCUGUCUGGGGCUCAGCCCAGUGAAAGCGCUGAGUCCCAGCUGCUGGACCCCUAAGCACAUCCCUGGAUGGUCUGCCUUUUUGAAGUGUUGACCUGAAAACGAAACUUCUGUGAAUAGAAAGUGAAAGCUCUGGGACCCACUUCCUCGGUGAAUGUUUGCUGAGCCCCGGCUGUGUUCUAGGAGAGGAGGAGACUUGUUCACAGCCCAGGGUGGAGGGUAAACACAUGUGCUCUGGCACCGCAACAUGGCCCAGCAGCUGCUCAGGGUCACAGCAGACGUACCAGCUCAGGAAACCAGAACUGAGCCACCUUCACUCACCGGCGGGUGACCUCAGGCAGCAGUUCAAGGGCUCUGGCCUGGAGUUCCUCCCUCCUUGCGUACUGGGGCCAGCCCACCCAGCCCCAGGGAAGCUAUGGGGAUCAAACCAGACAAUAAUAAAAGUGAAGCAUCUAUUCAGAC